GCGGCGUUCGUCUAGUCUGGCUAGGACAUCAGCCUGCCACGCUGAGAACCCGGGUUCAAAUCCCGGACGCCGCA
Molecule: transfer RNA, 74 nt
Filed under: Candidatus Bathyarchaeota archaeon
Lineage: Archaea; Thermoproteati; Candidatus Bathyarchaeota
Description: tRNA-Gly
Rfam family: tRNA
About the family: Transfer RNA (tRNA) molecules are approximately 80 nucleotides in length. Their secondary structure includes four short double-helical elements and three loops (D, anti-codon, and T loops). Further hydrogen bonds mediate the characteristic L-shaped molecular structure. tRNAs have two regions of fundamental functional importance: the anti-codon, which is responsible for specific mRNA codon recognition, and the 3' end, to which the tRNAs corresponding amino acid is attached (by aminoacyl-tRNA synthetases). tRNAs cope with the degeneracy of the genetic code in two manners: having more than one tRNA (with a specific anti-codon) for a particular amino acid; and 'wobble' base-pairing, i.e. permitting non-standard base-pairing at the 3rd anti-codon position.
Source: RNAcentral